GAUGAACGCUGGCGGCGUGCCUAAUACAUGCAAGUCGAGCGAACGGACGAGAAGCUUGCUUCUCUGAUGUUAGCGGCGGACGGGUGAGUAACACGUGGAUAACCUACCUAUAAGACUGGGAUAACUUCGGGAAACCGGAGCUAAUACCGGAUAAUAUUUUGAACCGCAUGGUUCAAAAGUGAAAGACGGUCUUGCUGUCACUUAUAGAUGGAUCCGCGCUGCAUUAGCUAGUUGGUAAGGUAACGGCUUACCAAGGCAACGAUGCAUAGCCGACCUGAGAGGAUGAUCGGCCACACUGGAACUGAGACACGGUCCAGACUCCUACGGGAGGCAGCAGUAGGGAAUCUUCCGCAAUGGGCGAAAGCCUGACGGAGCAACGCCGCGUGAGUGAUGAAGGUCUUCGGAUCGUAAAACCCUUUUUUUAGGGAAGAACAUAUGUGUAAGUAACUGUGCACAUCUUGACGGUACCUAAUCAGAAAGCCACGGCCAACUACGUG
This 497-nucleotide ribosomal RNA is filed under the name uncultured bacterium. RNAcentral describes it as "partial 16S ribosomal RNA". It matches the Rfam family "Bacterial small subunit ribosomal RNA", at positions 28 to 507 of the family's 1533-position model. The record is from RNAcentral.